UACAGAGGGUGCAAGCGUUGUUCGGAAUUAUUGGGCGUAAAGGGCGCGUAGGCGGUGCCACAAGUCACCUGUGAAAUCUCCGGGCUUAACUCGGAGCCUGCAGGCGAAACUGUGGUGCUGGAGUGUGGGAGAGGUGCGUGGAAUUCCUGGUGUAGUGGUGAAAUGCGUAGAGAUCAGGAGGAACACCGGUGGCGAAGGCGGCCUACUGGGCCAUCGCUGACGCUGAGGCGCGAAAGCUCGGGGAGCGAACGGG
Molecule: ribosomal RNA, 253 nt
Filed under: uncultured bacterium
Lineage: Bacteria
Description: partial 16S ribosomal RNA
Rfam family: Bacterial small subunit ribosomal RNA
Source: RNAcentral